GCCCUUAACGCGAAGAACCUUACCAAGGCUUGACAUGGACCGGACCGCCGCAGAAAUGUGGUUUCCCCUUUGGGGCUGGUUUACAGGUGGUGCAUGGUUGUCGUCAGCUCGUGUCGUGAGAUGUUGGGUUAAGUCCCGCAACGAGCGCAACCCUCGUUCUAUGUUGCCAGCACGUGAUGGUGGGGACUCAUAGGAGACUGCCGGGGUCAACUCGGAGGAAGGUGGGGACGACGUCAAAUCAUCAUGCCCCUUAUGUCUUGGGCUUCACGCAUGCUACAAUGGCCGGUACAAAGGGUUGCGAUACUGUGAGGUGGAGCUAAUCCCAAAAAGCCGGUCUCAGUUCGGAUUGGGGUCUGCAACUCGACCCCAUGAAGUCGGAGUCGCUAGUAAUCGCAGAUCAGCAACGCUGCGGUGAAUACGUUCCCGGGCCUUGUACACACCGAAGGGC
This 448-nucleotide ribosomal RNA is filed under the name uncultured bacterium. RNAcentral describes it as "bacterial SSU rRNA". It matches the Rfam family "Bacterial small subunit ribosomal RNA", at positions 953 to 1398 of the family's 1533-position model. The record is from RNAcentral.